This 840-nucleotide ribosomal RNA is filed under the name uncultured archaeon. Its description in RNAcentral is "bacterial SSU rRNA". It matches the Rfam family "Archaeal small subunit ribosomal RNA", at positions 23 to 859 of the family's 1478-position model. The record is from RNAcentral.
GCUACUGCUAUCAGAGUUCGAUUAAGCCAUGUUAGUCGAGGGUGCUUUCCUUAGGGGAAGUAACCGGCAGACGGCUCAGUAACACGUGGACAACUUACCCUUGGGAUCGGGAUAACCCCUGGGAAACUGGGGCUAAUACCGGAUAGAGCAUUGAUUGCUGGAAUGCAUGAUGUUCGAAAGCUGAGGCGCCCAAGGACAGGUCUGCGGCCGAUUAGGUUGUUGUUGAUGUGACGGAUCAACAAGCCUACGAUCGGUACGGGUUGUGAGAGCAAUAGCCCGGAGAUGGGUUCUGAGAGAAGAGCCCAGGUCCUACGGGACGCAUCAGGCGCGAAAACUUUACAAUGUGCGAAAGCACGAUAAGGGAACUCUGAGUGCCUCCUAAGGAGGCUGUUCGGGUGUCUAAAAAGCACCUGAAGGAAGGGCUGGGUAAGACCAGUGCCAGCCGCCGCGGUAACACCGGCAGCCCAAGUGGUAGCCAUGCUUAUUGGGUCUAAAGCGUCCGUAGCCGGCUAAGUAAGUUCUUUGGGAAAUUUGACCGCUUAACGGUCAAGCUAUCAGGGAAUACUGCUUGGCUUGGGACCGGGAGAGGUCAGAGGUACUCCAAGGGUAGGGGUGAAAUCCGUUAAUCCUUGGGGGACCACCGGUAGCGAAGGCAUCUGACCAGAUCGGGUCCGACGGUGAGGGACGAAGGCUGGGGUCGCGAACCGGAUUAGAUACCCGGGUAGUCCUAGCUGUAAACGAUGCGGGCCAGGUGUUGGCAUUACUGCGAGUGAUGCCAGUGCCGAAGGGAAGCCGUUAAGCCCGUCAUCUGGGGAGUACGGCCGCAAGGCUGAAACUUAA